GCCGCCGCCGCCGCCGCCGCUGCCGCCGACGACGUCGACGCCUGCACAAGCGUUUAAAUUGUAAAAUUUUAAUUGCUCGUAAGCCGCUUGCAAUGGCGCGUCGCAGGAUAAGCAACCGCAAAUUGCUGCUUUAUAAUUUCAAUUUUCAUUUCAGUAUAUUUUAAUUUAGCUUCAUCAUUAUGCGCUCGUCGAUCUACGCUGACCAUCAUCACUAACUGCAAAUAUCAUAUCUUUGCCUGCUUUCCAGUCCGGAACGGAAGUGGCACUUAGGUAUGCUUCGAUCCCAUGCAGUGCGUAACUGCAUCUUUUUUUUUAAGUACUUUGAAUCGAAGCAAACUAACUUUGCGAUGUUUGCCUAGUACAAGAAAUCUGGAUACGAUUCGAAUUUAAACUUUUUCAAAAUAUUACUUUAGAAUACACUUGAUUUACGCCUUUAGAGUUAGAGAUUAUAUAAUAUGAACGAGUAUUCCCCGGCCAUGCCUGUACUUUUAAUUUUAGAUAUCACUUAAUCACCCAUUUUACAUGUAUUGUAUUGUAUCUGUUACCAAACCUACUUUUUAUACCCUUGUAGAGGGUAUUUAGUCACGAAUUGUUGGUAUUAAAUUCAAUAGAAUGUUAAUAUUUUCAACUAACAUUAAGAGUCACUCAAAUAGCCAGGCAAAUUGGUUUCAUUCAUAAUCCAAUAGCUGACAUGGAAACAUUAACAAUUAACAAAGGAGAUCGUAGUAGUCCCGUGCGACCGACAGAGCAAUACCCUGGUCACAGUGCAAUUACCUUUCAUAGCAGCCGAAACAAGUAAGAAUGCUCCUGUCUGGAAUUGCGGGGAUAUUCCUGAAAACUCCUAUAACAUUCUUAGGGCUUGUGUUGUGAGUAGCCAAAUACUAUAUCACUAAAAAUGGGUGUUUUUCAAUUUUCGGUGAACGUAUCCACUUGGAAAAAUGAAAUAUUAAAUUCUAUGAACUGUACACUGAAAAAAUCGAUCACUAUUAACUUGAGUUAGGUAAGGGAUUAAAAAUUCCCUAAGAGGUAAAUGCUUAGAAAAUAUAUUUACAAAUUUUAAAAUAGGCACGUUUUUCUGAAGUGUAGGACAAUUACAUUUUUUGCUAAAAUUUGUCUAUUUUUCACUAAUUCUGGGUUGUUUGAAUUCUAUUAAUAGCAUUGAAAUUGCGAUUGUAUUUAGUUUUUUUCUCAUUAAAACCCAAUAGUUUGUGUGGAUGUUGAGUAAAGGCGGCCGCAGUUUGUGGGGUCUGUAACAGUUUCUCAGGACAAUAGAGGAUAUCUUUAGCCCAUGGCGGCGUAUGGUUUUGCUAAUCUCGUAAGUGAUCUAUAGGAAAGUUAGUUUCUAUUGAAAUAAGCAGUUCAUCUUCAAAUGAAAGUAAAGCUUUUAAGAUAUUGCUUAUCAUUGUAUUCCUAUAUCGAUUAUAGGAAUAGGAAUCUUCAAUGUCCAUGAUGUUCUUACCUUCCUUCUGUCCCCUUAUUUUUCUACGCUAUAUAUGUAUGAUUAUGGGGUAUAUAUAUAAUGUACACAGAUCAAGUAUUUUCAGUUUUAAUAAAAAAAUAAAAACUAAUACGAUAUACUGCAGAAAUUCCAUCAGGUUAGAUUAAGAAACACAGAAGUUAUUGGCAUACUCACGCGCUCAAUCUUUUUCUAAUUAUUUUAAUUGAAUUUCGAUUGCAAUUGCAUUAAAGACUGUGUUGUGUAUAUGUGCAUGUAUUUUAAUGAAGCUUCGGCUUUGGACUCAACGCGAACAGUCCCAUUCUAUUGCAGCUUACAAAAUACAAAACCAUUCUGAAAGAUAGGUCCACGACCAUAGCAGAACAUUGAGUGCCUGUGCUUGAUGUGCAAACAAUUAAAUUAUUUAUUACGUUCAGUAAUAAAUAGUUAAACAAACAAGAACAAACUAAGUAAUACGCCUCACCUGGGCCUGCACUGCAGCGACGAGAUUGACUAAUCGCAAGUUAGCUUUUGUAUUUUUCGGUCCGGUUAGUGUUACCUUCGCCCGAGAAAAAGCGACUUUCAAUUUUGCAGUGCGCUUACAAAAACAGCAUAAGCAUGAACUCGGCUCUGCCAAAGACCCGUCCGCUGGCAGCAACGCCCACUCCAAUACCAGCAGUUCAAAAGCCGUCUCUACUACAGCUUCUACCUUCACAACUGACACAACGGUUAACAGCAAAACACACAGCACCUGCAAUAGUGCAGCGCAGCUCGAUUUGAAUCAAAUGGCGUGGGCAGCGCCGCCGCACCUGCGAAGGGGCAUCAAGCAGUCCUUACCGACGGACUAACUGAUUGGCCAUAAGAGCCUUAUAAGCUGGAGAUGCAUGCUAAUAUGCGGUUUGGGUAAUUCCACCCGAAAUGUGGAAAAAUCGACUGAUCAAUCUGAAUAGUAAUAACAUCAUUUUCUAAGACCUUUGAUUAAAUUCACCUGAAUGGAAUUUUUUUACAUAAUUUACUUUACUUUUAUAUACAAUCUGAAUGAAUUUCAGACGUGUUUCAUUAUUUUAAUUUAUUUUAAACCCUCUGGAAAUUCCACCCACAAUUGUGGUAAAGGUUUAAAUUUCGUCCGAUCGGGCUCGUUUUGAAAGCCCUAGUGACCGUGAAUUCUCAGCAACAGUGUUAAAUUUAAGAAAAAGAAUUGAAUGACAGUUAUUUAAUUACCAUCUGAUAACAAAUGUAUGAUAAAUGCGGAUAAAGUGUUUGAGUUUGAGAUGGAAUAGGUUGAUUGAGUACAGGUACAAAAUGGGUGUAAAACUUACAUCUAAAACACGCUAUGGCUACCAAUAGAAUACAGGCCACAAGAGUGCCACCCACUUACCCUUACCACGACACCAAGGCUUCCCAAAUAGAAUCUAAAGUUUGACACCGAUGACGACAUGACGUCAAUCUCCUCGGAGGUGAAAUAAGAAACUUACACAUUACAACAAACGUAAGAGGUUCUAGUCGGGAGCUCCCGACUUGAGGAUUGCCUAAAGCAGCUUGUGCUGCGAGCUCAUUUGCUUUAGCAGUAAUAUCAAAAAAAAUAAAACAUAAAUGUUUAGUUUCCAUGAUAGUAGUCGAACUCGUAUCAUGAGAUAAUACGUUGUGCGAACCAUCAUAAUAUAAUUUUCACUGGAACUUGUUUAAGACAAUUGCAAUAAAGUUGUGACUGUAAUUGGUGGAUAAGUGCAAUGGGUUUUGAUUUAUUUUAUAGCUUUGUUGUGUAGGCGGAGAGUGGCAGUAUUUAUAAUAUGAAAGGUUUUUUAUAUAUAUUUAUACUAUUCAGAAAGCAACAUGUCAAAUUUGUUGGAUCUAGCUCUAAUAAAGACCGAGAUUUGCUUGAAAAUCAGUUUUUCGAUAUUCCAUUCAAUGUUUCGAUUAUCGUAAGGAGGCGGACCUACCUUCCAAAUUGUAUGUGUCUGGCUUUAAUAGGUUAUGUGAUCCCUGCGUUCAUACAUACGAACGGACGGACAGACAGUCUGACUUGGCUGGAUCGGGUCGGCUUGUGAUGCUGAUCAAGAAUAUAUAUACUUUAUGGGGUCGAAGAUGCUGUCUGUUACAUACAUCUGCAAAAAUACAGUAUACUCAUUUUACCAAUUUUAAUGGGUGCAACCGUAUUAUUGUUUAACUAUUGUUUUGUGAGUGUUCUAUUAAUCGCUAACCUAUCACAUUUCGGAUAUUGACUCACACAGGGCCGGAUGCACAUUUGGGCCACAGAUCGAAUCGCUCAAGUGGUUCUAGCAUAUGGGUGCACUCGGGUGCAUAUGGGUAACUCGGUAUGCACCUUAUGCACAGUAUGCACCUGGUCUUGUGCGAAUGUAUGUAAGAGGCAAAAGGAACCAUCUCCGGCUGCAUAAAGUAUAUAUAUUCUUGAUCAGCAUCAAUAGCCGAGUCGAACCGAUCUAGCCACGGUCUCUCCGAUCGUCCAUCUGCCCAUCGACAAAAACGGAUAUUUUAUUUCUGUUUUUUGACCAUGUAUCUUAGGUAUUAAGAGUAAGUGUCUCUUAAUUUGACCAAUAGUUUCAGGUAUAGUACACACAUUGAUUAAAAUAAUUAAACUGAAAUUAAUACUCUACUUUUUUUUUUCAAAAACAAUUUGCAAUUGAUGGCCACAACAUAAAACAGCGAACCACGUUAAUGUUAGCCAAGCGCAAGAUUUUCGUUCAACUUGUUGUUCUACAAGUCAAAUGUUUGCAUGGCGUUGCGCCAUGAGGCGAUGGCAAUCAUUUUGCUCGUCUAAUGAGAUGGCGAGUUCUAGAGCAGCGGAGAGGAUUUUAAGUGGCUUUAAAGUUUUUUCAAGUGCACUUUUUGCAAGCGAGCGUGAGUUCCUCUGGUUUAGGGUACGUCCGGACGGGCAUACCCGACUAUAUUAAUUGUUUACAUCAGUUGUAUUUGAAAUGAAUUAUUUUGGUUAACUUGGCGUUCUACUAAGUAUUAAUCUUUUACUUUAUACUUUGCUUUUUUCUCUAUUUUGCCUAUUAUUCAGCAAUCAAAAUAAUUUAAUGUGUUUUUUAAGUGAACAUUUUUAUUAUAUAUACAUGUAAAAAUUUACUUAAGUUGUUAAAAAUCAUAGAAACACAUUUUCUUAAGGGUAAAUAAAAAGGCAUUCGUUAUAAACAGUUUGUUUUUAAAAAUAAUUGUAUGUAUAUGGAUAAACAUGAACUGUUUUCAAUAGUCAAUAAAUUUUGAUUUCUUUUAA
This is a non-coding RNA of Drosophila virilis, 4673 nucleotides long. The record is from RefSeq and is a predicted model, not a curated record. Lineage: Eukaryota; Metazoa; Arthropoda; Insecta; Diptera; Drosophilidae.